Molecule: unclassified non-coding RNA, 399 nt
Filed under: Hevea brasiliensis (rubber tree)
Lineage: Eukaryota; Viridiplantae; Streptophyta; Magnoliopsida; Malpighiales; Euphorbiaceae
Source: RNAcentral
UUUUCUUUCAAAGGCUACCUGCUACAGUAAACUGAGUUAACAUUCACAGAACUUUAGUAGCCACAAAAUUCUCUCUUUUUCUCAACUCUUUUCUUCCCUUGUUGCUGCGCAACUCUACCCCACAUCAUAACACUAGAGAACUAGAAAAAGAAUGGUAAAAUAAAUGCACAUUUGGAAAACUACCUAUUUUCACUUAAAAUUGGUCAAAAACAUGCCAAACUGAACCUGAAACUAACAUGAGCAAAUGCAUAUUGGACUGCGUUAACCAAUUUUCUGAAAAAGAAAAGUGAUGCUCAAGUUAUUAGCCUAUUGGUUAUCCAUAAGUAAAUCUAGAAACAACUUUUUGUUGUUUUUAUAAUCAGGGGCUACAGGCCACUGGUGAUGGACUUCAUGAGAAAG